This 869-nucleotide ribosomal RNA is filed under the name uncultured bacterium. Its description in RNAcentral is "bacterial SSU rRNA". It matches the Rfam family "Bacterial small subunit ribosomal RNA", at positions 60 to 923 of the family's 1533-position model. The record is from RNAcentral.
AGUCGAGCGGAGAUGAGGUGCUUGCACCUUAUCUUAGCGGCGGACGGGUGAGUAAUGCUUAGGAAUCUGCCUAUUAGUGGGGGACAACAUUCCGAAAGGAAUGCUAAUACCGCAUACGUCCUACGGGAGAAAGCAGGGGAUCUUCGGACCUUGCGCUAAUAGAUGAGCCUAAGUCGGAUUAGCUAGUUGGUGGGGUAAAGGCCUACCAAGGCGACGAUCUGUAGCGGGUCUGAGAGGAUGAUCCGCCACACUGGGACUGAGACACGGCCCAGACUCCUACGGGAGGCAGCAGUGGGGAAUAUUGGACAAUGGGGGGAACCCUGAUCCAGCCAUGCCGCGUGUGUGAAGAAGGCCUUAUGGUUGUAAAGCACUUUAAGCGAGGAGGAGGCUACUGAGACUAAUACUCUUGGAUAGUGGACGUUACUCGCAGAAUAAGCACCGGCUAACUCUGUGCCAGCAGCCGCGGUAAUACAGAGGGUGCGAGCGUUAAUCGGAUUUACUGGGCGUAAAGCGUGCGUAGGCGGCUUUUUAAGUCGGAUGUGAAAUCCCCGAGCUUAACUUGGGAAUUGCAUUCGAUACUGGGAAGCUAGAGUAUGGGAGAGGAUGGUAGAAUUCCAGGUGUAGCGGUGAAAUGCGUAGAGAUCUGGAGGAAUACCGAUGGCGAAGGCAGCCAUCUGGCCUAAUACUGACGCUGAGGUACGAAAGCAUGGGGAGCAAACAGGAUUAGAUACCCUGGUAGUCCAUGCCGUAAACGAUGUCUACUAGCCGUUGGGGCCUUUGANGCUUUAGUGGCGCAGCUAACGCGAUAAGUANACCGCCUGGGGAGUACGGUCGCAAGACUAAAACUCAAAUGAAUUGACGGGGGCCCG